CCUACGGGUGGCAGCAGUAGGGAAUUUUCGGCAAUGGGGGGAACCCUGACCGAGCAACGCCGCGUGAACGAAGAAGUUAUUCGUAAUGUAAAGUUCUUUUAACAGGGAAGAAAGAGAAAUUUGACGGUACCUGAAGAAUAAGCUCCGGCUAACUACGUGCCAGCAGCCGCGGUCAUACGUAGGGAGUGAGCGUUAUCCCGAAUUAUUGGGCGUAAAGGGUGCGUAGAUGGCAUAGUAAGUCUUUUGUAAAAAGGCUGGGCUCAACCCAGUAGGGCAAAAGAUACUGCAAAGCUAGAGUAUGACAGAGGCAAGUGGAACUACAUGUGUAGCGGUAAAAUGCGUAAAUAUAUGUAAGAACACCAGUGGCGAAGGCGGCUUGCUGGGUCGAUACUGACAUUGAGGCACGAAAGCGUGGGGAGCAAACAGGAUUAGAUACCCGUGUAGUC
This 446-nucleotide ribosomal RNA is filed under the name uncultured bacterium. RNAcentral describes it as "partial 16S ribosomal RNA". It matches the Rfam family "Bacterial small subunit ribosomal RNA", at positions 338 to 795 of the family's 1533-position model. The record is from RNAcentral.